Oryza nivara is the source of this 205-nucleotide non-coding RNA. The record is from Rfam. NCBI's taxonomy places the organism in Eukaryota, Viridiplantae, Streptophyta, Magnoliopsida, Poales, Poaceae.
AAAAAAACAAACCAUAGGUAUCCGUGUUCAAUGUUUGACUGUCCGUCUUAUAAAAUUAUUUUAUAAUUAAUAUUUUCAUUGUUGUUAGAUGAUAAAACACGAUUAAUAUUUUAUGCGUGACUUGUCUUUUUAAUUUUUUUCAUAAUUUUUUCAAAUAAGACGAACGGUCAAACGUUGCACACGAAAACAAAGGUUUGUCUUUUUU